GACUAUGUGGUGCCGUGUCCUGUAUGUGAACAACAUAACUGUAAGUACAACCAGUUGUUUUUCACAUAUAGAAUACGGCGCCAUAUUGA
RNAcentral lists this microRNA precursor (89 nucleotides) under Plutella xylostella (diamondback moth). RNAcentral describes it as "microRNA pxy-mir-8525 precursor". Lineage: Eukaryota; Metazoa; Arthropoda; Insecta; Lepidoptera; Plutellidae. The record is from miRBase by way of RNAcentral.